GCCCCGAAAGAUAUGUAUCCUGGCCCCAUGCAAGUUUGAUUUAGAGAUAAGCGCUGGUCUGGAGCCAGAAGGAGCUGGGUUGCUUAGCAUGAAUCCCCAGCUUUCCCUGGCCUUGAUCUCCCCCCUUUCCUUCCCAUGCCCCUCACUGCCAUUGCAACAUCACGUUGCUGCCCAGGUUCAGGAAGUACUGGCAUGUUCCUCUGGGUGACCUUUGGGUUUGGGGUCCCCAUCCUUGAUGUAUCUUGAUGAAGGCAGAGGUAUAAUUUCCUUCCUCUGUGGAAGAGGCCUUGUGGCAGUAUUAUAGCGGCAUGAUGGUUCAUCUUCAUUGUCAGCCUGGCUGGAUCCACAACACUUAGAUGAUCGAUGGGGCUCUCCUGUAGAUGUAUCCGUGAAGGUGUUUCUAGGAGAGGGGUGACUCAGAAUCAAAGAGAACAAAGAGAAAGUCCCCUCCCAUCAGUGAGCCGCUCAGCAUGCUCCUUGUCACUAGGGGCUUUCAUGCUGGGCAGUUGCUCCACCACUGAGCUAUACCAUCAACCUCAUUCCAGCCACUGUUUCCAGGGAGUCCACAUUACCACCCUUCCUGUCCAUGAAGAGAGCAGCAGGCAGCCUCCAGUGUUAAUGUAGCAUGAUCUGGUGGAGCAGCUCAGAGCCGAGGUGGGGAAAGACCAACGGCUUCCUGGAAAUGAAUCUGCUUUCUUAUGACAAGCAACCUAAGCUGAGAGAUCCAGAGUCUAGGGUGAGAACCAUGAAUGCAGUAGACAGCUGACAGAGGUACCCUUCGGUACCUGAGUGUAAGAUCAUGUUUUCUAGUUAUCUCUCAGCUAAAACCUGGCUUUUGUGAGAAACUCCUGACUAAACUUACAAAGGCCUUUGAGAGAUGAUUCCCAUCUCCGAAGUAAUUUCGUGGCAUCUUUCUCAGUUCCCCCUUUCAAUUCCCUUCUUUCCCCAGCCCUGACACAUCUGAUCCCCUAGUUAACUCUCAUUGGUUUACUGUCACUUUAAAAUCCCUCCAAUCCCACCCAUCCCCGUAUCCCACUGCCUAGAGCAAGCAAGGGUCAUCUCUCCCUGGACCACAGGUCUUCCACCCUGUCUUUUUGCUUUAUUAUUUUUACCCCUGUGGGUCCUUUACCGUGUAAUUUUGGCCUUAAAAAAAUCUCUCCAUAUCAACAGGCUCUCAGGACCUUUAUGGUUCUUGCUCGUCUUAAGGAUGAGAUCCAAAGUUUCUCAGAGCAGGCCUGGAGACCCCACCUGGUCCAGACCCGCCUAGUUUCUUUGUCUAGCAUCUCCAUGUCUGCUCACUCCUAGACCUUUCUCUUUGCUUCCUCACAGGCUCUUCCCUCUGCCUGGAAUAGCUGCUCUUCAUGUUCAGGCCUUACACAAGUAUCACUUCCUCAGAGCACAGCCCUCUGACCGCACCCCAUGGCUCCAAUGCACCCAUCUCCAGUUUGCUGUCGGUAUCGAUGGGAAAGAAAAUACCUGCACCCACGUUUUCUCCUUGCUUCUAUUCUGUACCUGGCCAUGCUCCUCUCCUUGAAGUCUAAGAAUCCCUGUGAAGGCCUGGUCAAUGUUUCCAACCACAGCCAAAGGGAGGCCAUCAGGAAGUGUGGUGUGACACCUGCAGAAUUCUCUUUUUUUCUGCCCCUCUCCUCUGAGCUACAAGAUAUAUCUUAUUGCUAUUUGGUUUGGUUUUCUUCUCCAGAUGUCUAGCUCGGCCUACCCCUGGGUCUCCAUUCUCUUCCCACAGCUGCCUUGCUGCAUGGCCUUUGUCAAGCAUCAGCUUCCACGAGGUACUGAGCUACUUCGGCUUCUAUGUGGGAUCACUUCUAAGCUCGUACCCCAGAAGGGUGCGGCCAAGGCUGCUAUGGGUUCCUCCGAAGUCCUUGCUUGGGGUCCCUCACUAGCAUUUCUUUCUCCAUACACAUGGCUUUUUGUCAGAGGGACACUGGCAGUUCCUUGUUAGUCCUUCCCCCAAGUCUGGGAGAGACCUGGUGCUGACAUGAACACUAAGGGUCCAGAGAGGCAGAAAGAACAGACCAUUUCCAGAGCACCCUCGUAUUCUCUUUGAGAAUCACAGACACGGUCAGGCUAACCAGACACUGGAAUGGGAAGGGUACUGUGGAUGGUGGUGUGGUGGGAGUCCCUUGAGAGCGGGAGGCUGGGGAGUGGCAACGAUCUAAUUGUGUCCUAGGCUCAUGGAGGUCCGGCAGAAGGAUGCUCGGAAUGUCUCUCCCUUAAAUUUCUACCCCCCCGUCCCUCUUGGGAUGCUCUGCUACAGCUCGGGUGGGUUAUACUGUAGGCCCAUCCUUCCUGCGCCACAGUCUGGGCUCCUUCCACAAGCUAGCUCAUAUUCUCCAAUUUAAUUUCUCACCUUUCUUUUUUUCACACACUCCACAUUGCUGUGACCUCAGCCAAGUUCUGUGACAGGCCACAAAGAUUCUGGUUGGCCAGGCUGUUCCACUGCCUGGAAUAACCUCACUUUCCUCCCUGGUAGGCACACGUGAGUCACACAUAGCUUCAAAACAUGGCUUAAAUGUCAAUGUGGCUUUGAACUCAUCUGCCCCUCUUCCUGACUUACCCUCCUCCCUCAUCCACAGCUCACUUUGAACUCCUGUCCACAGGGUGAAAUCUUAGGGUUGACAGUACCACCGAGCAUAUCCGUGCAUCAGUACAGUGGUAAACAAAGGCACGUUGAGCUCCCAGAGAGCAGAGGUUGUCUUUGUUCCCUGUGGAUCUCUGUUCCUGGUGUAGCUGGAGUCGGCGUGCAGAUGUUCAAAACCUACCAUCCCAGUAGGAUUGUUUGGGAUCUUUGUUUCCACCACGGAGGAACUGUGAACGCCUUGAAGCUGAUGGUGUGACAAUGAGGGCUUUUACAGAAUAGCGGGAGAUGCAAGAAUGUCACAGAGCGAACGGCAAAAUCCCUCCGUUUCUGUCUUUAGAAGAGUCACUUGUCUGUCAGAGCCAGUUACUACUGCCACCUGGUGUCCAUUUACCUCAUUUGCAGGUUGGGCUCUUAGAUUAAACGCUCUGCAGUUUUUCUUGUUGCAAUGACUAGUUUGGAAAUACUACCCCCGACUUUUACCCAUUCACAAUGGCGGAAAAAUAAAGUCAUUUUGAGGAGAUCUCUUAUUUGCCUUCCUAGUUUCUACUCCAACCUAGAGAUCACAGGACAUGGAGGUAGCUUGGGGCUGAGGAGGAACAGCCUGCUUCUGCAGCACCCUCAGGAACCACCAGGCUGUCUGCAUCUGUAGACCUGUGGACAGAGCAGAGAUGGGCCGUUUUUAGGCUGCCCACAGUGCAUCGCCCUUCUUCCCAAGGUCAUAAAACAGUUGGGUUAAGAAUGGCCAGCAGGACCCUGUAGUGCUCAGCCCAGGAUUCUAAUCAGGCAUGCCAUUGACAGAGGUCCGCAUGAAAACCCGUGCCGUGUGUACUAGAGAGCAAGUCCAGCCACCCAGUGACACUGUUUAUCUGUCCCUAUAACUUCCUUCACAACAGUGAACAAGAGAAUGAUCAGCAACUGCCAUUUUCUGGGACUUCUCCUUACUGCCACCAUUAUUCUAGAAAACAAUGGUGACUCCUUGCUCUUUGAUCUUCACAUUGGCAACUGAGACUCUUGAGUGGAGGAAUUAAGUUCCUCUCCUUAGCCAAGCCUCUGUCAGCAGCCUGGGCAGACUGUCUGGAAGGGCAGCCGACAGGAAGUCGUCGAUGUUUCUUCGGGGCUUGGAUGUGUCUUCGCCAGGAAACCGUCCUCUCCGGACUGCAGCUUUCAGCCUGGGAGCCUUCUUUCUCUCCUCAGCAGACCACAGUCAGGUGGACAUGGAAGACACCAGAUAAGCCUAGCAAAGCUGCA
This is a non-coding RNA of Myodes glareolus (Bank vole), 3847 nucleotides long. The record is from RefSeq and is a predicted model, not a curated record. NCBI's taxonomy places the organism in Eukaryota, Metazoa, Chordata, Mammalia, Rodentia, Cricetidae.